AAAGCUUUAGUCCCUCCGCCCAAGUUCGCUUCUUCCCGACCCCAAGCUUUCCUUUCAGGAAGAAGGUGAGUUGCCGACCCCAGUCCGCCUUGCCCGACCCCUCCUAUCCGCCCGACCCCAGUUCCGUCUCAUCCGACCCUGUCUGUUCCGCCGACCCUUAUCCGCCUCGCCCGAGGGCUUGGCUGUGAUCUUUUCUUCAACUCGAGGGUGUAUGUGUAAAACCUGGGAACCCUUCAGCGCUUGCGUCUAAGGACCCCUAGUUUCUCACAUCCUCUAGUUCAAGGAUCAGACCACUAGUUCCUUCCUACCCUUACCUUUUGAUCAUCAUCAGCUCUCGAAC
RNAcentral lists this long non-coding RNA (340 nucleotides) under Setaria viridis. RNAcentral's name for it is "long non-coding RNA (SVIR_LNC010719)". Lineage: Eukaryota; Viridiplantae; Streptophyta; Magnoliopsida; Poales; Poaceae. The record is from RNAcentral.